This 527-nucleotide long non-coding RNA is filed under the name Cyanistes caeruleus (blue tit). RNAcentral's name for it is "lncRNA (ENSCCEG00000011821.1)". The record is from RNAcentral. Lineage: Eukaryota; Metazoa; Chordata; Aves; Passeriformes; Paridae.
AUGACUCUCCUAGAUGCACAAAUCUAUGGCUUCAGUGGCUGCACCUUUUGUCCCCUUCAGGGUCUAAAUGUUCAUUUCUCUCUACUGCAGGGAAGGACAUUACUGGCAAGAAUAAUUCUUCACACUUUUGACCAAACCAGCUACAUUUCCCCAAACCAGGCUUUCACCCCACGCAAAUACUACUCAACUGCCCUCCAGCAAAUGAUCUUACUCCUUAAAGCUUCAAGGCAAAAACUGCCCGCUGAGCAGAAACACCCAAUGGGUUCAAUGUGGUGCAAGUCCCCACAGACCAGCUCUGUAAGCUUUGGAUUAUUAUUUUGAAAGGAAGGUGACUGCACAUAAACCCAGCUCUGCAAAGCACUGGGAACAGGACAGGCUCUCAUUUCAGGAGAUGUAUGGCUAAAAUGUGGCUGCCACAGGAAGGAUCUGGGAAGCCAUCAUACAUGCAAAAACUUCUCUUCCAGUAAGUGUUACGAAUUUCUUCACAGAUCCUCCAAACUGGUGUUUUCAAUUGAGAUAAAUAAAAG